GUGCCAGCAGCCGCGGUAAAACGUAGGAGGCAAGCGUUAUCCGGAGUUACUGGGCGUAAAGCGCGUGUAGGUGGAUUGGUAAGUUACUUAUAAAAGCCCCUGGCUAAACUAGGGGAGGUUGGGUGAUACUGCCAGUCUUGAAUAGAGGAGAGGUUGACGGAAUUCCGCGUGUAGUGGUGAAAUGCGUAGAGAUGCGGAAGAACACCAGUGGCGAAGGCGGUCAACUGGCCUCGUAUUAACACUCAGACGCGAAGGCAUGGGUAGCGAACGGGAUUAGAAACCCCAGUAGUCC
This 292-nucleotide ribosomal RNA is filed under the name uncultured bacterium. Its description in RNAcentral is "partial 16S ribosomal RNA". It matches the Rfam family "Bacterial small subunit ribosomal RNA", at positions 505 to 796 of the family's 1533-position model. The record is from RNAcentral.